GACGAACGCUGGCGGCGUGCUUAACACAUGCAAGUCGAACGGAAAGGCCCUGCUUUUGUGGGGUGCUCGAGUGGCGAACGGGUGAGUAACACGUGAGUAACCUGCCCUUGACUUUGGGAUAACUUCAGGAAACUGGGGCUAAUACCGGAUAGGAGCUCCUGCUGCAUGGUGGGGGUUGGAAAGUUUCGGCGGUUGGGGAUGGACUCGCGGCUUAUCAGCUUGUUGGUUGGGUAGUGGCUUACCAAGGCUUUGACGGGUAGCCGGCCUGAGAGGGUGACCGGCAACAAUGGGACUGAGAGACGGCCCAGACGCCUACGGGAGGCAGCAGUGGGGAAUAGUGCACAAUGGGCGGAAGCCUGAUGCAGCAACGCCGCGUGCGGGAUGACGGCCUUCGGGUUGUAAACCGCUUUCGCCUGUGACGAAGCGUGAGUGACGGUAAUGGGUAAAGAAGCACCGGCUAACUACGUG
Molecule: ribosomal RNA, 468 nt
Filed under: uncultured bacterium
Lineage: Bacteria
Description: partial 16S ribosomal RNA
Rfam family: Bacterial small subunit ribosomal RNA
Source: RNAcentral